This is a long non-coding RNA of Chelonia mydas (Green sea turtle), 1958 nucleotides long. RefSeq lists it as uncharacterized. The record is from RefSeq and is a predicted model, not a curated record. Lineage: Eukaryota; Metazoa; Chordata; Testudines; Cheloniidae. The transcript has 2 exons.
CCCUGUGCGGGACGCCCGGGCCCCCCGGCUACAGCCAUCUGCCGCCGCGGCGCUCGCGGGCGGGAGGGUAACGCGGGGACUGCGGCGGGGCAGCUCGUGCGAGGGCAGCGGGGCGGGGCUCGGCCCGGCCCUAGAGUUCAUCCGAGCCGCUUGCUCUACAGAAGCUGUGCUGGAGCCUGUGGAUGGAAUACUCAGCCAAAAUGGAAUUUAGUGUACAGUUUUUCAUUCAGUUGCCAUUUCAGGUCUCAGCUGAGACCCUCAUUGCUGCCAUUCAAGUCAACUUCUGGGACUAAUGUGAUGGCCACUUCUAACCAAAGAGCUGUUAGUCAAAAGGUAUGAGAGACAUAUCACUUAAAAAAUUACUCUGCUAAUAUUUAGCAAAAAAUAAAAGAGUACUUUUCUUGGUGCCAGUGGUGACAAGAACAAGCAACCGCUUCUUGCAUUCACACACAAUCCCUUUCUAAAACUUUUCCAACAUUUCUGCUUCAAAGUUUGGUUACUUUGUUUUAAAUACAUUUUAGCACAUAUCUGCAAAUGUUUAAAAUAUUCCAGAAAUUAAUGACCCCUGUCUCCUUGACCACUGACUUUCAAAUAGCUUCAGAACAAUAGCAGUCUGUGCUUGCAUAUGCUGUCCAGCCUAAGGGCUGUCAAUUGUGUUUGUUGUGAGAGUCACGUUGCUUUAGGAAUUUUUAUGCCAGUAUAUAGUAAAUGGUAAAAUAUAACAAAGGUCACUUACGAAUAUAAAUACACAUUAUUCACACACAUGCAUUCUGGUCCUCUCUGCUGAAAACCCUUGAAACCAAAAGAUUUUUGUAAGGCAGUUUUCUUCAAAGAGCACUAAUACUGCAUACCAAGUUGCAUAUGUAGGGCCAUUUAUAGCAUUUCAUCUACAUGCACAACUGCUGUUGACAGUCAUGGGAAAUGUGCAAGUCAGGCUAGGACAGUAUAUGGCCUUAAGAGUUAAUGUGUUAACUCUUAACACAACCACAAAUUUGUUAAACAUGACAACAUCCCUUCAUAAAGCUGGCAGAAAUAUCAGUGUCCAGCAUUUGCUCUUUUCCCUCCUUGUAUAAGAAAGUAUAAUGUGAGACAGAGCAUCUGAAGAUAAAACAAGUUAAUUAAGAGAUUGCCCUCUAACAAAUACAUGGUUUGAGCCUGUUCCAAUUUAAGCCAAUGUGAGUUUUGCUAUUGACUUCAGUGGGAUCAGGCCCAUAGUGAUGAACGUGACAUCAUUCAUUGACAGUGAGUUAUUUCAUUAGCAAUCAGCUACAUAAGCCUACAGCGCUACAGGCUGCUGAACAGUGUUGCAAGCUGAAGCAAUGAUGUUAACUUCCCUGUUUGCUUAAUAUCUGUUCAAAGAGGCUCCCACGUAGUGUGAAAAAAUGUCCGUUGGGCUCAGCACUGUGGAAACCUGAGCCCACAUGAUGAUGGAGAUGAGAGAAAAGGUAUGCCCUGGCUUAGAUGUUUAAAUGGUGUGAAUACUAAUGUUCCCACUUACCAUAUAAAGGAUUUUCAUUUCCUUCUAACAGCAACCAGUUGCAGCCACAUUCUCGAGGGCACGUAACUGCAGUAUUUAACAAAAACAGAGAGCAGGGGUAGCCAUGAAGAUCAGCUACUGCCAAAAAAACAUGUCUGAGGGUUCUAAGAAAAUAGAGUUCUCUAUCCACUGUGAUAUACACUUUGGCAGGAGUGAGUACCAAUUAAUAGGAUGAAAUUCUGCCCCCACUGAUGGCAAAGCUCCUAUUGAUUUAAUCAAAGUCAGGAUUUCACCCAUGUACUUCAGUGAUAGCUUCUUUUUUAUACAUAUACCUUUUCCUUAAGAUAGCUGAAGUGUAUGGCUUCAUAUAUUAUAACAACAGUGUCAAACUACUGACUAUAAAAUUAAAAGUAUGGAUAUUUUAUACUUUUUGUGUAGAAAAAAGUUCAAAUAAAAAGUCUGCUGCAUCUACUUUGGCCGA